CCCGUUUCUUUCUUCUGAGACUGUGCAGCUUGCCCAAAGCCACUCAGGCUGGCGCUUCUCCCAGAAGGCACAGUCAGGGAAUUGAACUCCAAAGCUCGGGUUCCACAGUCAGAUACCCAACUCACUGAGCUAUCCAGCCUGCCUUCGAGGCUUGUAGAGCCAUUGAAAUAAAUGGCAUUGAAGCUAUGACUAACUGAAGCCCCCUUGAUUUCAAGAUGUCUACUCUAAAUAUGACUAAACCCAGAUCCAAUCCACUGAGGGAAUGCUUCUUAAACCAGCUGCAAAUCAGCCAUUGUUAACUGCUGACAACAUAGUUACAGCAGCAACAGCUCAGGUGCCUGUCGACAUAGCAAAGUCGAACCCACCACUGUUUUCUAGGACAGCGACUCAAGUCUCAGCCAGGACGUAUGGUAGUGGAAUGACCUUAUACUGUUGAAGUAAGCAAAACUUACGUUCCUCAGAAAGGAAUGGCACAGUGGGGUUGCCUUGUGAUCAGUCACAGCAGUGCAUCCACGCACAAGGACAGAAAGGGGAGAUUAUAGAAGUAAGCAAAAGUAUUUUCUAUCAGCAAGUGUUUUCUUGUUUGCAGCCAAGAGCAAAGCAAGCCUUGCAGUGCCUUGCAGUGGUGAAAUUAGGAGAUGAAAAUGUUUAAAAUUAUUAAACAAUUACAUUCAGUUGAUAAAGAUACUUGAGUGGCUGAUGCUCAUGUUCUGGAAACAAGCUUCAUUCCUUUUGUGGUCAACCUGAGAUCACAGCAUUG
This 760-nucleotide long non-coding RNA is filed under the name Pogona vitticeps (central bearded dragon). RNAcentral's name for it is "lncRNA (ENSPVIG00000002505.1)". Lineage: Eukaryota; Metazoa; Chordata; Lepidosauria; Squamata; Agamidae. The record is from RNAcentral.